This 212-nucleotide ribosomal RNA is filed under the name Clostridioides difficile. RNAcentral's name for it is "partial 16S ribosomal RNA". It matches the Rfam family "Bacterial small subunit ribosomal RNA", at positions 1331 to 1533 of the family's 1533-position model. The record is from RNAcentral. Lineage: Bacteria; Bacillati; Bacillota; Clostridia; Peptostreptococcales; Peptostreptococcaceae.
GUUACUAGUAAUCGCAGAUCAGAAUGCUGCGGUGAAUGCGUUCCCGGGUCUUGUACACACCGCCCGUCACACCACGGGAGUUGGGGACGCCCGAAGCCGAUUAUCUAACCUUUUGGAAGAAGUCGUCGAAGGUGGAAUCAAUAACUGGGGUGAAGUCGUAACAAGGUAGCCGUAUCGGAAGGUGCGGCUGGAUCACCUCCUUUCUAAGGAGA